This is a long non-coding RNA of Trichosurus vulpecula (common brushtail), 355 nucleotides long. RefSeq lists it as uncharacterized. The record is from RefSeq and is a predicted model, not a curated record. The transcript is spliced from 3 exons. NCBI's taxonomy places the organism in Eukaryota, Metazoa, Chordata, Mammalia, Diprotodontia, Phalangeridae.
GUCAGUACCGGGGCGGCUCCAACUGGAGGGGCUCCACCUUCGGGGAGGAACUGGGGAGGAGCCAACCCGGAACACCCUGGUAGGAUAGAUAAGGCGUGCCCCAGGGAGGGUGUGGAGGAGUUUUCUGAGAUUUCUGGCAGGCCAUGCAAUAAAGCUGCUGCUUGUUCAUUCCGGUGUACUGCCUGGUGAUUCUCCUCUCGCAUCCCCCGAGAGGAGCAGGACUCGCCCUGUGAGUUCAUUGAUGUACAGAACUCCUAAAGUGAAGGAAUCCCCUCUCCUGACGCAGCCUAACAAAUACUCUGAUUUGUUGCUCAGAGAUAUAUAUCCAUAUAUCCAGAUAUAUGGAUUCCGUGAG